GACGAACGCUGGCGGCGUGCCUAACACAUGCCAGUUGAGCGACGAACCAGGGCUUGCCCUGGGGCAAAGCAGCGAACGGGUGAGUAACACGAGGGUAACCUACCCCGAUAACCGGGACAACCCGAGGAAACUCGGGCUAAUACCGGAUGUGCUCACUGGACUUCGGUUCAGUGCGUAAAGGAAGCUUCGGCCUCCGUAUCGGGAGGGGCACGCGGCCCAUUAGUUUGUUGGUGUGGUAACGGCGCACCAAGACCGCGAUGGGUAGCUGGUCUGUGAGGACGAUGUGCUACACUGUGUCUGAGGCACGGCCCAAGCUGCUGCGGGAAGCAGGAGUGGGGAAUCUAGCGCAAUGCGCGAAGGUGGGACGGAGCAACGCCGGUUGAGGGAAGAAGCGCUACGGGUUGUAAACCCCUUUCAGGAGGGACGAAGGUCCGGCGGUGAAUAGCCGUCCGGACUGACGGUACCUCCACAAGAAGCCCCGGCUAACUACGUG
This 493-nucleotide ribosomal RNA is filed under the name uncultured bacterium. Its description in RNAcentral is "partial 16S ribosomal RNA". It matches the Rfam family "Bacterial small subunit ribosomal RNA", at positions 28 to 507 of the family's 1533-position model. The record is from RNAcentral.